This 327-nucleotide ribosomal RNA is filed under the name uncultured eukaryote. Its description in RNAcentral is "partial 18S ribosomal RNA". It matches the Rfam family "Eukaryotic small subunit ribosomal RNA", at positions 1470 to 1796 of the family's 1831-position model. The record is from RNAcentral.
CCCUUAGAUGUUCUGGGCCGCACGCGCGCUACACUGACGAAUGCAACGAGCUUAUAACCUUGGCCGAAAGGUCUGGGUAAUCUCCAAAUUUCGUCGUGAUGGGGAUAGAUUAUUGCAAUUAUUAAUCUUCAACGAGGAAUGCCUAGUAAGCGCAAGUCAUCAGCUUGCGUUGAUUACGUCCCUGCCCUUUGUACACACCGCCCGUCGCUCCUACCGAUUGAAUGGUCCGGUGAAGCGCUCGGACCGCGGCCUCUUGACGGGUUUCCGUCGAUUGGCUGUGGGAAGUUCGUUAAACCUUAUCAUUUAGAGGAAGGAGAAGUCGUAACA